This 253-nucleotide ribosomal RNA is filed under the name uncultured bacterium. RNAcentral describes it as "partial 16S ribosomal RNA". It matches the Rfam family "Bacterial small subunit ribosomal RNA", at positions 524 to 776 of the family's 1533-position model. The record is from RNAcentral.
UACGGAGGGGGCUAGCGUUGUUCGGAAUCACUGGGCGUGAAGCGUACGUAGGCGGCCAUUCAAGUCAGAGGUGAAAGCCCAGGGCUCAACCCUGGAACUGCCUUUGAAACUAGAUGGCUGGAACACGGGAGAGGUGAGUGGAAUUCCGAGUGUAGAGGUGAAAUUCGUAGAUAUUCGGAAGAACACCAGUGGCGAAGGCGGCUCACUGGACCGUUGUUGACGCUGAGGUACGAAAGCGUGGGGAGCAAACAGG